ACGGGUGCGUAACGCGUGGGAAUCUGCCCUUUGGUUCGGAAUAACAGUUGGAAACGACUGCUAAUACCGGAUGAUGACGAAAGUCCAAAGAUUUAUCGCCAAAGGAUGAGCCCGCGUAGGAUUAGCUAGUUGGUGUGGUAAAGGCGCACCAAGGCGACGAUCCUUAGCUGGUCUGAGAGGAUGAUCAGCCACACUGGGACUGAGACACGGCCCAGACUCCUACGGGAGGCAGCAGUGGGGAAUAUUGGACAAUGGGCGAAAGCCUGAUCCAGCAAUGCCGCGUGAGUGAUGAAGGCCUUAGGGUUGUAAAGCUCUUUUACCCGGGAUGAUAAUGACAGUACCGGGAGAAUAAGCUCCGGCUAACUCCGUGCCAGCAGCCGCGGUAAUACGGAGGGAGCUAGCGUUGUUCGGAAUUACUGGGCGUAAAGCGCACGUAGGCGGCUUUGUAAGUUAGAGGUGAAAGCCUGGAGCUCAACUCCAGAACUGCCUUUAAGACUGCAUCGCUUGAAUCCAGGAGAGGUGAGUGGAAUUCCGAGU
RNAcentral lists this ribosomal RNA (537 nucleotides) under uncultured bacterium. Its description in RNAcentral is "bacterial SSU rRNA". It matches the Rfam family "Bacterial small subunit ribosomal RNA", at positions 102 to 674 of the family's 1533-position model. The record is from RNAcentral.